RNAcentral lists this ribosomal RNA (423 nucleotides) under uncultured bacterium. Its description in RNAcentral is "partial 16S ribosomal RNA". It matches the Rfam family "Bacterial small subunit ribosomal RNA", at positions 360 to 774 of the family's 1533-position model. The record is from RNAcentral.
AAUCUUCCGCAAUGGACGAAAGUCUGACGGAGCAACGCCGCGUGAGUGAUGAAGGUCUUCGGAUCGUAAAACUCUGUUGUUAGGGAAGAACAAGUAUCGUUCGAAUAGGGCGGUACCUUGACGGUACCUAACCAGAAAGCCACGGCUAACUACGUGCCAGCAGCCGCGGUAAUACGUAGGUGGCAAGCGUUAUCCGGAAUUAUUGGGCGUAAAGCGCGCGCAGGCGGUUUCUUAAGUCUGAUGUGAAAGCCCACGGCUCAACCGUGGAGGGUCAUUGGAAACUGGGAAGCUUGAGUGCAGAAGAGGAGAGUGGAAUUCCAUGUGUAGCGGCGAAAUGCGUAGAUAUAGGAAGGAACACCAGUGGCGAAGGCGACCACCUGGGCUAAUACUGACACUGAGGUGCGAAAGCGUGGGGAGCAAACA